This 22760-nucleotide long non-coding RNA is filed under the name Equus caballus (horse). RNAcentral describes it as "lncRNA (ENSECAG00000054620.1)". Lineage: Eukaryota; Metazoa; Chordata; Mammalia; Perissodactyla; Equidae. The record is from RNAcentral.
GUAGGGCAAGAGGAUGGGGCACAAGAGUUGGCCUAUGCAACUUUCCUCUUGGAUACUAAAAUUGUUUUGUUUUGUUUUGCUAUUGUCGUAGAUUAAUUUUUCACCAAAAAUAACCUGUAAAGAAAAAAUGUCACAGGACUAGGCAUAUAAUUAUAUGAGGAACAGUAGGCAAAGACUUGGGCUUGAAUCCUUACUCUGCCACCAGCAGAGUCAUUUAGAGCAAGUGGAUUAAUCUCUUUGACUAUCCUCAGUAGAACACAGAUGUCAAUAAUGCCUACUUUAUGUGGUCUGGGGGAGUAUUAUUAGCAUAUAAAGUCAUACUGUCACUUUAUUUAAAAUGUUAUUUUCAUUUCUACUAUUCUUAAUAACACACAAAAGGGGCUCCAUACAUUUUAAAUUGUUCGUACAAACUAAACGGGCUUUUAUAAGGGGCCCUUCUAACCACUUCUGCUUCCCUUCAGUUUAUGAGGCAAUUCAUGGUGUUUAAAACAACAUCUAAUUCACUGCAGAAUUGAACGGUGUCCCACACCAACAUAAAAGAAAAGUUACAAAAUGCCACUGAAACUGCUGCAGGAUACACCAUCAAGAUUUCCCCCCCACAGUCUAGUUUCUCGAAAAUGUGUCACCAUCAUCUUUUAAAAUCCACUUAACAAUCUACAAGGGAGAGAUUAUUAUAUGUCCAGCCAUGUGGUAAUGCAGUUUCCAGGAAUCGAGAAAAAUAUAUAUAUAAUACAUUUGUUAUCAUUGACAGCAGCCCAUAUGCCUGAGCAUUUGCUUUCCACAGUUUCUGAGAAACAUGCUGGAAAAAAAAAAAUGCUGAACCCAAACAUGAUCCCAGAUCCCUGACACGACACUGUAGCCAGGACCUCUAGCCAUGCAGUUUACCCCUCCGGCCCUAAGACAACACUGUGCCACCCCCAGACUUCCAUCUUACUCCCACAUGGUUUGGUCUCUCUGUGUUGCUCUGCAGAAGCCUUCUCUCAGGUGCUGAGCAUCACUGCAUCAGUCUCGCUACCCUCUUUCUUUGGCAGAUCCUAGCUUCUUAGGGACUAAAGGCAGGAAGUCACCUCUUCUGUCUGACUUUAACUUUCUCCUUCAACCUGGCUUUAAUACUAAAGUGAUUCAAAUAUUUUUAGCAGAAAAACCAACCCAUCCCUGGGAAAGAGUGGGCAGAGAUGGUCUAUACCACACUCCAGACUCCUGUGAGAGAAACCUUUAAGCACCCAAACUACCUCAACCUCUACCUCAGAUGACACCCUUCAAUACUGCUAAAGCCAAUUGCCCAAAAGCAAUUUGAUUACAAGUCAAUCUCUGCCGGUGUUUUGGAAAAUGUCUAUGGAAACAAUUCCCUCUUUGAGCUAUCCCCAUCCAUCCCCAAAGGGGGAAUUUCAUGGAUGUCACACAGCCUAUAUUUUAAGUCAGGCCAUCAAAAUGUACUCUUCAAAUAGGAUGAAAUCUAACCAGUUGUUCUUCCAUGAUGUACUAAAAGGUAAACAGACAAACUUCUAUGCAGGUGGGAAAGAAACCAACAGGUAAGUCAUUCCUGUAAAAAUUUCUUAGCUCAAAUUUUAAGAAGAGAGAAAUGCUGGGGAUGAUAGGAAGGAUAGGCAAAGGCAUAAUUGAGAUGACGCUAUAAGGAGCAAACUCGGAGCUGGCCAGGUGGCGCAGCGGUUUAGUUCGCACUUCUGCUUCUCAGCAGCCCAGGGUUCGCCGGUUUGGAUCCCGGGUGCAGACAUGGCACCGCUUGACAAGCCAUGCUGUGGUAGGCGUCCCACAUAUAAAGUAGAGCAAGAUGGGCACGAUGUCAGCUCAGGGCCAGUCUUCCUCAGCAAAAAGAGGAGGAUUGGCAGUAGUUAGCUCAGGGCUAAUCUUCCUCAAAACAAUAAAUAAAUAAAUAAAUAAAUAAAUAAAUAAAUAAAUAAAGGAGCAAACUCUAAUGCAUAGCGGGAGGGGAGGGUGACCCUCAGGUCACAUACAUGAGGACAGAUCGGGACUGGGGUGGACUGGAGAAGAGUAUAUGUCCUUAUAAUGAGAGAAGCAGCUACCCAGCUUCUGCCACUUAUGGCCACAGGGGUAUGCUGGCCCAAUGUUGCCAGGUUUGUCUCUAUAAUUUCAAGUAUGGUUAUUCUAAGUCUCACAGUUCAAAUUCUUGAGAGAGAAAAUAUCAUCGACCAACCCAGCCUAAGGACUGAUUCUUCUGGGAUCAGGUGCCUACACCUAGUCCAACCAAUUUUGUCUCGGGGACCCAUGGAGGGCCGGAUCGCACAAUCUAUUGUCUACCCUGGAGGAACUUGGAAAGGGCAACCUGAUUCAUGAAAAGGGGUUGUGGGAAGGACUAGUGCAGCAAAGCCUGCCUUCACAGACCUAAAGGACAAAUGAUAGACUCAUGACAGCUGUGCAAUGAUUUCUACUGGGAAACAGAAUCUUCUCCACAAUCCCUCUGUGCAUAGACAGUGCUGCAUUGCAUUCGCCACUCUGAUCCUGCCCUGCUUGUUUAAGCCAAGGUGGGCACAGAGUGUAAAUAAUGAGGCUGCAUCCUUGCUUCUCUAUACUGUUAUUAAGGAUGAACAGACUUGGAAAAGAGGAAGCUGCCUCAGAAGCAUGAAAGAUGACUCCAAAAUAUACAAUGCCACCAAAACAUUAUUGUCACAUUCAGAAUAUCAGGUUUGCAUCAGGAGAGAUGUUUUUCUUCAAACUACAGCAGCGUGUAUGUGAGAAUGUUCUGCUGCAAAGUGAACAUGAACAAUGUCCCCAAGAGAGCAAUGAAGCUCUCAGCCAUGGACAGCCGACCUACUGCAGCAUCUUUGUAGACUCUUAGCUUGGGAAGCUGAGGCCAGGGCCUGGGGCAGGUGCAUUUUGGUGAGGAAAAGGAUAGGGAAGACUUUGGAGUUGUGCCUCCCAGAAACAGUAUAAUCAGGAUCUCACUUCAUAGAUCGGGAAACUGGAGCCCAGUGAGAUUUAGAGUCUAGUGUCUUUAAAUAGAACACGGGCUUUACUUCCAGUCCAGGGCUCUUCAAAUGUUUAUAGCAGGCUCUGGUUUGAGGUGGAAGAACCAGAGAGAAUAUGGCACUUGCCUAUAAAAGCUACAUCUUUCUGUAGUCGACUUCCAAACGAAAGACAUUUUCGCUUGUCAAAAGUGGGCAGUCGGUGCUUUGAAAUACAAUGACUGAAGGGCAAUGCUCCUUGACUUGACAGAGCCUGUUUAUAAUUACAGCAUUAGCACACACACACUUUAAUUAAAAAUCUUGAAAAGGACCUUAGCUGUGUUACGAGACCUAUACCAAAAUCCUGUCUGAGGAGUCACUUUCUAGCCAAACUCUUAUUUUCAGAGGCCAGCCCUAAAAAUUUCUUAGAUUUAUUCUCUGAUCAAUAAUGACUCUUCGGCAAUAUCUGAAAGAGAAAAAGCCAAAGGUACCUCACUCAAGCCUGAUCAUAUAACACUGUUCUAUCCCUACUCCGACAAGCUGCGGUUGAGGGGCAGGGCCGUCGAGCCCGGUGACUGUCCACCUUGCAGAAACUUGGAGGGGGGGCACUAUAGUGGUCCAAAAGAUCGUCUGGCCCAGCUCUGUCAUUUUACACAUAAAAAAUGGAGACUUAGAGAGGUGAUUGUCCAGGGCCAAUCCAGUGGCAGGAGGGCUGGGACAUACUAAUAGCCACUCUAGAUAAUCACUGCUCAGGAAAAUGAGCUGCUCAGUCAAUUGAAAAAGAGAUAUAAUUUUGAAAUUACAAAUAUCAUUCUCUAUUACUUCCCUGGUUGUGCUCCUGAAAACACCAGUUUUCUAGAUACUUGAUUUAAUAAAUAGAGAAAGGAAGAAAGAAAGAGAGAGAAAAGAAAGUAAAUGAGUUCAUCCAGAGCACAUAAGCAUGAGAAAUACUACAUACCAUAUUCCCUUCUUGGAGAUUCACGUCACACGCUAGGGAAUCUGAGAAAGAAGCCCAGCAGGAAAGAAAUCUGUUUAACUCAAAGCUCUUUUUCCAAGUCACAUCUAUUAACAUCCUACAGACCCGGUGUGCUAGGAAACGUACGUUGGGACAUCCUAGCUUAGUGAGAAGGGAAAUGAACUUCAAAAUAAUUGGGCUGGAAAGUAAAGAAAUUGAAACAGUCUGGUUCAUGUCAAGCAAGAGUUCGGAAAUGGCACCAUGUCAUCUUCAGUUUCUUCCCCUGGGUCUUUUACACUUGGAACUUGGAAAGAAAUGGAAGAUAAAGGUGUCCUUCAGCAGCAAAGAUAAAGAGAAUAAAUCUUUUUCUUUAAUUUAGCAUUAAAGGUUUGUGUAAAGGAGUAAAAACACAGACCCACUCUUCUCCGUAGGUAUUUGAGUCCCUACUAGAAAUGUAAUGCUUAGAAUUGUAUUUCCGCACAUUUAUAACUUCUUUACCGUGAACUACCGUGAUGUUCUUUUCCUUCAAAGCUGGUAAAGUUACAUUCCUACCCAGAAAAUGUGAGGAAAUCGCAUUUGACCUGUAAAUAAACUAAUUUGAAAAGUUUUUUUAAAAUAUUAGAGACUUCAAAAAAAAGAUUGGGUGUGAAAACUCCAAAAGUUCCAAAAAAAUUCCAAAGUGUGAAAACGCGAAAUUUUUAUACUCAAAUGAGUCAAAAUAGAUGAACAGAAUGCUUCCAAACUUUCUAAAAAUAUGCACCUUCAGGCAAUAAAAAAAAAUCAAUCUAAAGGGUCAUUUAUUUCAAGAACCUAAAAGCCCGACUUAGCACUCCCGUGAUCCCCCACAGCUGACUGGAUCUGGGAAAGCAGGGCUGAAGAAAGGUCAUUCAUACUCCUCUCUAACCCCUUAAUGAUAUGUUUAGCCAGGCUAAUUUUAGACCUGUCGGAAGCUUUUGAUUCAGUUAACCAUACGGUGUUGGUGACAAGACUGUGGUCAAUGGCAGGUGUGGGCUGAGCUCCUUUUGAAAUCAGUUGGUGAGUUCAUUCCUGGAAGAAAGAUGUCAAUACACAGUUACAGGGAACUGCUCAUGAUCCACACACAUCUCCUAGGAGGUCUUUUCUCUCCUCCCUAAGUACCCAACAUGGGCAAGAGAUCCUGGGAACCAUCAGUGGAGGCAAUAACAUCUUGCUGAUCCUCAUCUCAUUAUAGUCUUUUCUACUGAUCCAUUCAACCUGUCUUAGCCUUUGGCUUGGCUUAUAGUUAUUUUGGUUUGAGCAGGAAGUAGCUGGCUUCAACUCAACCUGGAUAGGCUGAGGUUAUGAUCCUCAGUCCUAGGAAAUGCUUUACAGAUAUCAGAGGUGGAUCUGUAUCAUAGCUAUUCAGGGAUAGAGGCUGACUGACUGGUCUUUUAACAGGUGCUUGAGCAUGGACAAGAAAAGUCUCUUUUUUCUUGGAUCCAGAGAGGCAUGUGCCUACACCAGCUUCCCAAAAAAGGCAUCAUUACAUUUAGCCACCCCUCUGGUUCAUAUAAGUUUCACCACAGUAAUAUCUACCCUUUUCUCUACUUUGCUAGAUUUUACAGUGGAAUUUCAUUACCCUACUAUUCAUUAAAGGGAAUUUCUUUAGCCCUUUGAGUUUUCGUACCAAUCAGUUCAAAUGCUUUCCAGCCUCUCAGGCUUACCAUGAAUGGAUAUUUGAUGCAGUGUGUGUGUCUGCUCUAUAUGUGCUCCAUAAAUCUUUCUAUAGCAAAGAAAACAUCAAUGUUAUGCUCAAGAACUCAACAGCCUGAAUGAAGAGGAAAACGUCUUUAGUACUGUCUCUUACUAGAUUUCAACAAAUUCUGAUGCUGUAAGGGAACUCAGGGCUAACUCAUUUUCACCCUUUCAUUUUAUAGAAUGGGAAAGCAAGACUUCAGUUUUCUCAAUGGACAUACUAAUUCAGCAGAACCAGAAGAUUUCCAUGGAGCAAGAAAUCUAACAUGAUCUUUCUAAACUUUAUCAAUCAUUCACGGUCCUCACCAAGGGUCAUAUAGUGUGGAGAACAGGAGGAAGACAAGGGAGAUAGGAAAGAGACAAAGGGUGAAAAAAUUAAAUGAGAAAAAGAAAGUCAGUUAGUGGCUUCCUGUGAUUUUCUCAUUAUCACCCUUUCUUUCCAACUAUUUUUUAAAUUUUCUCUUUAGCCUCAUCAGAUAAUCCAGAUAUCAUCAAGUUUCACUGGAAAUCCUUGGUCACCCAUAUGCAGGGGACAAAAGAGGAAGAGACAAGUAUAUAUAAGUAAACCCUAUUUUUCAGCUUUCGGACUAUAGAUGCCUCAAUGGUUAAUAUUGAAACUGUGGAUUUUAAAUGCUCAUUUCAUUUGGUUGUCAGUCAUCUACAGAACAUCUGCCAUGAGCUAAGAAUUCUGCUGUACACUCUAAGAGACAUGAGUAUGAAGGAGACAUAGUCUUGCCUCUAAAAAUUUACAAGUUAAUAAGAGAGAGGGAAUAUAUUCCUCCUGGUUGCAAAAUUCUAAGACAUUUCACACUAACAAUCAUAACACAGAGAAGAAUCAGAUAGGGGCCCUAAGAGAAAUUCAACCUGAGUGUUAUGGGAGUCCAAGAAGGAGUAUGUCAUUUCUCAGUGGCAGGAGCCAAGAAAUCUUCAUCAAAGUGGUGGGAUCUUGAGCUGGGGCUUGGAGGGUAGAAAAGACUUAAACUGUAAGAGGAUACUGAAGAGUAAGCCUCCUGAGAAAAAGGAAACGGCUCAAAGGCACAAGAAUAAAGAUCUGCUUGGGAAAGAGCAAGUGGACCAGCUUGGCUAUAGCAUGGGAUAGAUAAAUGACAAGAAAUGCACAGCUGGAAAAUUUUGUUGGAAGCCAAAUUGCAGAGCAUCUAAAAUGAUGAACCAGAAAGCUUGGUCUCAAUUCUCUAGGUAAUGUACAGACACUGAAAAUUUUUUGAGGGCUGGCCUUUAGGUAGAUCAACCGGCCACAAUGAAUUGGAGUGAAAGACACUAGAGGAAGGGAUCAGCAUCUCAGGAUGAGCUAAAUGAGUGUAAAAGCACCCGCAGUGAGAAUGGAAAGGAGGCAGAUUCACUAGGCAUUGAGGAUGCAGAAAGGGCAGGAAUAAUUUGGGGUGAAGGUUGAAGGAGCAUUUCCUAGGGUACUUGUGAUGAAAACAAAAUUCCACUCUGUCAAAUGGAUGCCUGGAAGCAUGAGAUUUUGAACUUACUACUGAGAUGGUUUUACCACUGCCUGAUAUUGGUUGGUUGGUUGAAUAAUUUUGCUUGUUGUAGGUUAAGGAUAUAUGUGGGUUUUUUUUUUUAUUGUAUUGUCCCUUCUGUGUCUUUUAUGGUCUAGAAAGACCAGAAUAAACAAACAGACAUUAGAUAUCACAAACCCAGACCAAAGAUCAGAGGAGGUCUCAUCAUCUCCUUCUUGGUGUGUAAAUACAGCAAGAAAUACAUAGUGGUGGACGCAUGGCUAUUAAUAUAAAGGAGACAAUCUAUUACAAACUGUCCAAAUCAAUAAUUAUACUUUACCAUGUCCCUCCUAUGUGUCAAAUUAUAUUCCUGUCCCCAUCCAUUUUUAUAUCAGAGAUUCUUUUUAAAAAUUGACUUCAUUGAAUUGGUAAAGAACUUGCUUAUGGAAGGUCUUCUAUUAAUAAGGGUGCAAUCUUCACAGUCUCUACCACUUAUUCACUGAGCAGCCUCAAUCACCUAGUCAGAUGCUAUACAACUUGGGGGCAGAUAAUAAUCGCCCUUUCACCUUAUUUAGCUACUAAUGCAAACACAUUGUGACCAUCUUCUUCAGACAGUCUUCCCAGAUAAACUAGAAGAGACCUGACUCCAUGUCAUUCUCAGAGAGCUCUCUAUCUGAUUUUGAUUUUAUUUUUUCCUGCACUCAUUCUUCUGGCUACCCACCCCCUACCUCAGCAAACAUUUAGUGAGCACUUGGUAUAUGCCCAGCACUGGGCGCAGGGAUGCAGAUUCAAAGAUAAAAGGCAACAAUCCUUCACUUUGUGUAAAUAUUAAUGUAAGGAACUCAUUUGCCCUCUGGAACACCUCACCUUGAAGACAGGAACCAUCUCUACCUAAACUUGGUGUCAUCUAAACAUUAGCUCUCCAUAGUGGUUAAGCACGUGGACUGCGGAGCCCUAGAGUAGGAGGGUGGCCAGUGCCAGCUGGGCACGUACCAGCCGUGAACCUGCAUUCAGUUGGUGAAGCCAGAAGUUCUCUGCCAAUGCUGUCACCACCCAGGUCUGUGGUGCUGAAGGCCCAAUCUGAAGCAAGAAGUGACACAAAACCACUGCUGCUCCAUCCAGAGAGAGUUGCUGGUAUGCAAGGCGGGUUGCAGGAUUGAGCCCCCAGUGAGGAAUAAGUAACAGAAACCAUAGAAGGCAAAUAAAAUAGAAAUGUGUUUCUCAUGCAAACACUCAGAGCAGUUAAAACUAAAAUAAAGGAAAGAAUGAAAUAAAAUAGAAAAUUGUGGAGGGGAUUUGGUGAAACACUUUAAAAUCAAAGACCAUGCUUUCCUUUCCUUAUUCUGUGAGAUGCUAGAUCACUGCUUAGAUGAAUUUACAGCUGUUUCCAACAUUUAUGUGAAACACAACAAAGAGCUGGACUCUGGUUGCUGAGCAGGCUAUACCCCAGGAGGUCGGAAUGCAUCACUAAUUAAAGGGAGGCUGCAGAUAUUGGUAAUCUGGGAGCUGCAGGCACCCCAUACAUGUACCUCUCCGAGCCAGAGCAGGUUGCAUCUAAUAAGGUUUUCAAGGUGACUCUGUAUUUCUUCAAUGCUCCUCACCCUCAACUUCCUCACAGGCAUUUCUAGCCAGUUACUCCACAUUCCAGGGAAGGCAUGAUCUCCUUCAAACACCAUGCCUAUUUCUCGAACAUUAUCCGCAGAAACAAAUUUAGCUUUGUACAUUACAUCAUCACCUCACUGCAGAUUACAGACCCAGAAACUAUCUCCCACAUGGACUAAGGUGAUCCGGGGAGCCUGGGGCACCAUUCUGUCCAAAUUGGAAGGGGGCAGAGCUUCUUGCUGAGCAGAUGGUCUUGAGCCCAGCAGAUCUAGGAAUUCCAUUUUAUUUUUGCCUUUAAACAUGCAGAUAGGAAUAUCAGACCCAGAAGCUUUCCGUGCUGCACAAUUUAUGCUAGCUCAUUACCUCCUGCUACACUCCAAGGCUCUGUAACGGAAAUUGGCUCUGAUUUCUGAGAUGGGCAUUACAUCAUAGUCUUCUUUUAGCACAUUAUGUCAUCCCUGCUGAGACCCAUUAUCUAGGGUUGGCUCAGCAGUAGCGAUUUUUGUGGGCCGACUGCAGCGUUCCCAAAGAACUGCUGGGAACCACAGAUUGCAAUCUAAAACAUUUAUCUUCUAAAAAACUGAAAAUGGAGAAAGAUGUUCACAUCGGACCCCAUUUAUUUUCCUUAACCCUCUGCUGUCUGAGAGCCUUUUAGAGUACAUUGCGGCAAAUGCCAAUGAGCAUGUGCGGAGCCUGUGCAGAGACGAUCAUCUCGAGAUAACCACUGCUAAGGGUGCCUGGAAUAUCGCUCCUCAUCGAGGGCUGAUAUACUCUACACUUGCCAUGAUUCUGUCUCAAGGGAUGUUACGAAAUGCUUAAAAGGAGUCACCUUGCAUGCUCACAGUGACAACGAGCACCCUGCCUAAUUCUUGGCUUAUUUAAGAAAAAAAUUUCUUCUCAUGAUCUGUUUAUACAGAUAUAAAUAAAAACUAUGUACAUACAUGUAGUUUUUAUUUAUAUAUAUAUGUAUUUAUAUAUACACGCUUAUCCUCCUAACCAUGUUGCAGUCACAAAGGCAAACUUCUAGAAGAUUUGUAUUAGAAAUAAUUUUAUGCAGAGAACUGAGCUGAUAUUAUCUCUUCUCACUUCAAUCAUGAAAUUAGAAGCCCGUUCUGUAUCUCUCCAUCCUAGGCAGGAUUAGAAACCAUUGCACAGAGGGAAUAGACGGGAGCUCUCAGGAUGAAGCAAAGAUAUUCCCAGACCCUUGAGAAUCCCCAUACCUCUCUCAUCACAAAAGCAUAAAUAUGAUAAUAAAAAAAGUCUCUACAUCCCGAAAUGAGAUGAGAUACAUUCAACCAUGGCUAAAUUACAAUCCCCCUUACCCACCGACUAAUGAGACUCAUUGGGAGGGAAGUAAGUGCUGGGGGAGGGGUUAGAAAGGAGGCUAUGAUAUUCCCUUCCCCCAUCCAAUCAUGCUGCAUUUUGUUUUUCCACGGAUUUUUUUUAACCGUGAAUACUUUUAUGCUCUCAGUUUCUUUUUGUGGCUCUCAAAUGGCAGCCGCAUCCAAACAAACAACUUCAUAAUUAAAAUGGAGGUAAGUAAAGCUAUCAUUUGGCCCCAUCCCAGAGCCUUGCUCCUACUUCCACCCUCAGUGAUUUUCCAUCAUGUUCUUUUCUAGCGCUCUCCUCUACACCCAGUGGAUCAUAACGCAAGAUGGCAGCCUUCAUCCUUCACUCAGCCCGGGGCAAGGCCAUGUGAGCAGUCUGAGCAUUCUAACAGGGUUUGGGACACCUGGCCCCACAUUCAGGGUCUAGAAACUUCCUGGGUGACAUUCAGCAACCAACUGAUAUCCCAUCUUUAGCACCUCUUCUUUCAUAUUUUAUGUCUGCUGCCAUUUGCCACUUAUCUCCUAGAGGGGACGGUGUGAGGAUUGAUGGUCUGAUCCCACAAAGGGCUCGAGGCUUUCAGACGGGCGAUGCUCUGUAAAAUAGUAUUACUUAAUAGCUAAGGACAUUUAUAAGGAUCCUCUUACCCUUCUCCUUCCUUUCCUUUGUCCCUUCAUCUCCACCUCCUCCCUCUCACUCUAGGAAUUUUAUGAUCAGAAGGCCAAAAUGCUUUAAAUCUUAAUAACUACAUGUGCCACUUGGGAUACUGAAAGGAAACUAUAUAUGCUCUUUAUUUGACUCAUUCAAAGCUUUUACUGCAGCCAAAGUAACUGCUCCACCAUUUAAAAAUUUCACUGAAAAGGCAAGCAGCCUUCAACAUGUUAAGCUGAUGUUCAUGUAAGUUGUGAAAUAUUAAAGGACCAGGAAUUCUAUCCAACAAUGAAAUUACCUGGCCCAACCACCUCCUUUCCCUUUGGAGGAGGCAAGAAUUCACAUGGAUUCACAUCCUGAAGGAUGUAUGCCUCCAUCUAGGUGUCGGCUGGCUAGAUACCAGCUUCUGAAGAUACACUGGAGAGGGGACUGAGCCUUACUUCUCUCUCUGCCUCCAGUGCCCUCUGUGUCCCAGUAGUUGUGCCUAAUCCUGCAAAAAAAAGGCUUUCAGGAUGCCCAGAGGUCCUCAGUCCACUCCCAAUCAGGCCAACUAUAGAACAGAGCCACUGUGCUCUUGCACUUGUAACAGGACAGUUACUGGCCAUGAGAAUCUGAGGGAGGAGUUCUUGUAGAGAAGAGGAAGCUGAACCCAAAAUCUGUAGGUGGUUUCUAAGAGUAAGUACAUACUAGGGGGAUCACAUUGCACAGUAAGAAAUCAACUAUUCCCUAAUGGAUGUCCCACAAUAAAGGUGGAGAGCAGGGGUGGCCAAGUCAGAAUGAGGAGAUCAAGCACAGAGCUCACUGGCACCUGACAUUACAAUAAAACCCAGGCUUGGAGUGAGUAUAGAAUUCUGGGCCUGGCUUCAGCCUCCUUCGCCAACUGUCUUGGCACCAGUCACUACGCUCAGUGGCCUGACAGAGGGGAACAAAACAGUACGGACCUUUCAGGCUUUCCUAGGCAGAGGUGGGGAAUUCCACAGCCUCCCACCUGCCCAGAAUCACUGUCAGGAUCACCUAACGCCUAGAAAAGCAGCCAUUGGUCUUAUCAACGAUGAUCUCAAUCCUGCUGUCUACAGCAAUGCCAGGAGACCAACUGUCCUCACCGGUUGCUCUCUGGGUGCCACCCCAGAGUCCCAUUACCAGCCCCCUGGGGGCUUGUGGCAUUUCCUAGGCUAUAGAGCCUUCCAAACUUCUUAGAGUUAGCCCUCAACAGCUCACCUUCAGACCUGUUUGUUAGCAACAGCAAAAAAUUUCUUUUCUGUAAAUGUAAGUACAUCAUGAAGAUACAGACUAGAGAAACGUCGAGGUUUACUGUUCAGACCCAAAAAGGUUCUAGAGAGAACUGCUUUAUCCAGCUUUGGGGGAAAAAAAUUAUACAAGUUCCCUUACAAUGUGAGUCCAAACUAUUUCUGGUCAAGAUCCUUCUUAACUUCUGGGAAGUUUGCAUCCCCUUCACCUUUAUUCCUGGUCCAGGCUGAGUACUUUGCCUUUCCCUUAAAAUGUUUUUCCUUCCGGGAGGAUUUUCUUCAUGAUCUCUUGUUUACCCCUUAACAAAUUACUACAAUAAUAUUAAUCUAGUUAACAAAAGUACUAGAUUCUCCUUAAUCCUGGACAAUAGAACUAGGUAGGCUCCAUUCAUUCAUUCAUUCAUUCAUUCAGCAAAUAUCUAUGGAGCAGGGUCAACUGUGUGCCUAUUGUUGUAAAAAGUGUUGUGGAGAUGAAUCAGACAUGGAUUCAGCUUUUCAGGCACGAGAGAGACCACAGACAAGCUAUGUUAAUAAAUAUAUGACAGAGACUGCUAGAUUUUCACCCAAGUUCCUCCUCAUAUUCCUGGGUACACAGCUAGAUAUACUUUCCAACUUCCUCUACUGUUAGGUGUGGCCAUGUGCCUGAGGCCUGGCCAAUGAAAAGUGGAUGGAAACGAUACCACUCCCAGUGUUGCGCCUGUGAGAUCAACAUGCUUCUUCCUCCUUCUGGCUGUUUGGGAUGGCAAGAUCACCAAACCCAGGAAGUCAUGUGUUGAAGGUGGCAAAGCCUCAGACAGCCAGAAUUCCUGCACGCCCCCUUGGAGGAGAGCUGCCCUUGUGGCCUAUUUAUGUUCAGGACUGGUACAAGAGCAAGAAAUAAACUGGCAUUGUGUGCGUCCAUCACAUGGUUGGGUCUGUUCAUAACAACAGUCAGGCUGUUCUAAUUAAUGUAAAUGUUGAAAUGAUUUAUUGAAAUGGAAAGAUAUUCAGAGUGUAUACUAGGGUAGAACAAGUUUAAAAACCUAUAGUGUGAUAUCACUUUUUAAAAGAAUAUGUAUAUAAAGGUACUUAUACACCAUGGAGAAAGUUCUAGAAGUGUGUACAACAAGGUAUAGGUGUUUAUCUCUGGAGGGUGAUAAUACAGCUAUGGCUUAUCUACAUUUUCUGAUAUGAAAUGAUAUGAUUUUAUAAUUAAAAAAUGAAAUCUAUGUUUAACAUUAAAAAGGAAAGUAUGUCUUGAGAUAUAAAUACAAAGGCACAGCAUCUCAAAGUGGAUAAAGAUUUCCUGAGGGAAAUUAGGAAAGGCUUCUCAAACUAAGCAUUUAUUAAUGACCCUUCCAACACUGAAAAUCUAUAAAUUAGCUACAGCCUGAGAAAUAGAACAGGUCAGUUAUACAACAUUCCUGGUUCCCAGCCUUUAUGUAUUGAGGUCUUGUCAAUGGGGAUCAAUUCACCAGAAAGGAAGGACGAGCUAAAUCUUUUACCUUUACAAAGUGCCAAAAACUAGUCUCAGUGGUUGUUUGGGGUGAGGGAGAGGAAUGAAAGAGAGGGCAGUAUUAAACGAGUUAGGGGAAGGAAAAAGGAUCAUACCUACCUUAUACCUUUUUGUGCUUUUUCAAUAUUUUGUUAUAGGCAUUUAUUACUUAUCCCAAAAAUUCAAAAAAAUUUUCUUUAUGAAUUUUGUGCUAUAAGAAUUUAUUGCCUAUUUUUUUAAAUCCUAAGUUCUAUAAUCUUUUGUAAAUACUAAGUCAGAAAUUCUCCUUGAAUUGGUUAAGUGCAGAGAUAGAUGCUAAGCAAAUAAACAAGUCAUAAUUUACCAGCUGAGUCCUACAAAAACAUAGCUCCAAUUAGCCAUUGUGGCAAAGGUUCACCUUUUUAUGUGAGAAGAGCCUAAAUAUGUCCUCCCCAAACACCAAAGGAAAGGACUGGUCAGUGAAGGGUCACCUCUGCUCUCCUCCACACAGUCUUCAAAAGUGCCUGGAGAAAGAUUUUGGUGUACAAACAAGAGUUGGAAACUUUGCAAAACCUCUUAUGUCAAAGUCUCAACCCCCGUUCUUUUGCUGUGAAGACUCAGAGGAGUGACGGUGACCCCAGAGAGGAGGGAUAGGCCACCAACUCUCUGGAUCAAGGAAGAGCGUUGCAGGUUGAGGUCCCUGAAAAACAGACUCCAAGAUGGAGAUUUGCUCACAGGUGGCUUAUGGGCGGGGCUCUUGGGGACAACACCAGCAAGGGAGUAAAGGAAGCAGAAUUAGGCACAAGGAGGAGUUGAGCUGUGACACUGUCACAACAAAGGUGUCAGUGGAUCCCACAGGGCACUCUGGAGCUGGGAUGGCCCUUCAGAAUUGUCCCAAGCUGGAGCUAAGCCUUUAAAUGCCCUCAGGGUCUGGGGCAAGCAGCUCUCUUCAGCCAGUUUUCUGGGAAGAACUCAGUUGUGAGACAUCAGCAGGCAAUACUCCCAACAGCUGGGGAGACAAAUGCCCAGCGUAGGGCGACACGCUACAGCAUCCACUACAGAGUGGCAGGGGGAUGUCAACCCUUCUGUCAGUCUAUAUCUAGUUCUCAAAAUAUCACAUCACAAUUGGCUCCGGUUAUUCCUCUUUGAAAUUCCUCAGCGGCUUCCUAUUACUCAUGGGAGCAAAAAAGAUCUUCCUAAGCAACAUUAAUGGGCUUUUCACUGGCCUAGAGGCCAAACCCCAUGGAACCUAGGAUCCAGUCACCCGGGGCUACUCACCAGUCCCAGAAAUUACCGUCCUUUUUCAUGGCUCUAAGCCUUCAUAUAUGCUCUUCCUUCUGCUAGAAUGCCUUCUCCACUCUUAUCUUCCUAAAAAACCCUUAGUCAUCCCUCAGUCCUCAGGGUAAUUUCCGCUGGGAAACAUCCCUGGCUCCCCUGGACAACUCAGACUACUUUACUCCAAGUUUCCACUGCGUUGUAUGCAUCUACACCACCACCCACAGCAGCCCGUGCAUAUACCAGUUCUUCACGUCUGUGUCCCGCUAGACUGGAGGCUUCUUGAAAACACAGCCAGAUCUUUCAUCUUGGUAUCCCUGCUACAUAGGAAGUAUUAGAUUAAAUGUUUGUUGAAUGAAUAAAUAAUUCAACGUGGAAGAAAUGGUGCUGGUGGUGAUAGCUCCGUCAAGGAAGAGUGGAUGAAUUCUGAUAAAUUGGUGGAACAGGAGAUAGAACUAGGGACACAGGGAGAGGCGAAGUGUUUGUAACCAGCCAUGUGCCAGAAACAUUUGGCUUUUAUGUCAUCUUUGGUUUUCAAUCUCUAUUGUCCAGCUACAGCUUAACAGAAUGGAGGGUACAUCAGGGGCUCUUAUGUUGACAGCAAAAUUGCUUUUAGGGUUCAACAACCAGAAAGUCUCCCAAGGAUGACUUUAAGGAAGGAGUGUUAGGCUAUGUGGACCCCUGGCUGAGGCUAUGACUAAACAAGAUUGUGGGUCUGAAGAAGCAUUCCCCUCUCUGCAUAUUCUCCUGAAGAAUCUCUGCCAAGGACUAGAGGAGCCCCCACACAUGAAUAACAUAUUCAACUUUUCUUCCUCAUGUUGAUCAACGACGGUGUUAACGAGGGGCUGGGCAAUGGGGCUGUAUGAGCUGAGAGUGUUUAGCCUUCAAAAGCCCUCAAAGGAGAACAAGGUCCCAGGUAACAGAUAGAAGGAAGAAAGGACUUAAGUCAUCCUGGAGCUUCCUGGUAAGGAGAAAGUGGAAAUGCAGGCUCUCAUCUUUCUUUUUUUCCUAAGAUUGGCACCUGAGCUAACAACUGUCACCAAUCAUCUUUUUUUUUUCUGCUUUUUCUCCCCAAAUCCCCCCAGGACAUGGUUGUAUAAUUUUUUAGUUGUGGGUCCUUCUAGUUGUGGUAUGUGGGACGCCACCUCAACAUGACCUAAUGAGGGGUGCCAUCUCUGCGCCCAGGAUCCGAACCGGCGAAACCCAGGACCAGCGAAGCGGAGAGCACGAACUUAACCACUCGGCCCCGGGAUGGUAUUCCACUAACCAACCAAUACCUGUUCAUUGUGGAUCUCGCGCACUAACCCUGGGAUCUUUGACAGCAGUGCUGUUUCUUCCACAUGCUGUUUCUUCCACAUCAAUGGACCUUCAGCACCUACCACAGUGCCAGGCCACCAAGCCUGAAGUCCACUUAUGGAUGAGAUCAGCUCCAGCUCAAGAUCAAACUCUCUCCAGACGCAAGAUGGAAAAGUCCCAUUAGCCAAACCCUGGGCUGAGCUUCAAGAAACAACAAUCUGUUGUUGAUUCUUCUCUAUACUGGAAACAUAGAAAAUACAGAAGCUACCUAACCCCCAGGCCACCAAAAACCUAUGUUUAUUGCCAUCUGAUGCCAUCCUACCCUACAUGCACAGUGCCAGGGAAGGGGCAGCAAAAUAGCCUGGUGCCCCAACUCUGGGUCUUUUCUCCCUUGCUUUCAGAGCAGAACCCAUCUGAGUGAGAAUGAUUACCUUUUGUUGUUGUUGUUGUUAAGGUCAUACUGACUUAUAAUAUUGUGUAAAUUUCAGGUGUACAUUAUCAUAUUUCAGUUUCUGUAUAGACUGUAUGGUGCUCAUCACCAAUAGACUAGCUUUUGUCCAUCACCAUAUAUAUGUGCCCCUUUACCCCUAUCACCCCCCACCACUUGCUUCCCCUCUGGUAACCACUAACCUGUUCUCCUUAUCUAUGUGUGCAUUUAUUUGUUUAUCUUCCACAUAUGAGGGACUAGAUGUUUGUUUCAUUCUUAUCAAGGCUUGGGAAGAGGAUCGGGGGAAAGUCUCCUCAGAAAAAGAGUCUGAAAGAAGAAGUUGGCAGAAUUGCAAUAAACACAGGCAUUAAAAAAAUCUAACAGCAUGAAUCUGUUCACUAGCUGGAAAGAAAAUAUCUCAUAUAUUUAAGGCAGAGCAGCGAUGUUGUAUAAGUCGAGGGUGACGGGUAACUAUUCACUUCAUAGUCUAUGUGAAUGCUGCAGGGCACAAACUGUGUAACCAAACUUAGACAGCCCCAAUUCACGAUAUCUAAGUUAGAAAAGUUCCUGUAAUAAUUUCCACACAGAUGUGGCAGUUUUAGGCUAUGGAAACAUUUAAGUUGUGGAUUAUUCUGUAGAAAAUUCUUAGUGUACAUAGCAAAACCCAAAUUUCCCACAGAAUCAUACCCUAAAUUAUAACCAGGGGAACCUUGGAGGUUGUCUAGAUCACCCCCUUGAUUUGCAGAUGAGGACUGAAGGCCAGAGACAUAACGUGUCUUGCCCAAGGUCAGUAAGCCUCUACUGAAAAGGUGAAACAGACUUUCUCUGUUCCCCAUAGAUAGCCAAAAUAGGCCGCUUUGCUGUGAAUGGUAUUCAGCCUAAACAGAACCAAAAUUGAGUCUUAUUUGUCAGUAUCAUCAUUUAACAUUUAUUGAGCACCUUCUAAAUGCUAAGGCUUGAAAAUACAAAAAGAGUGCCUCCAAAUGACCCAGUCCAUGAGGCAACAGUAGGGCAGAGCUUUGCACCAAUCACACACAACCUUUGGUCCAGGAAAUGAGGACUUUUCUAGGAACAUUUCAAGGUGCAAAGGUAGUGUACUCUUUCUUGAGCCAUAAAAGGUUAUGGUCUAUUGAACAAAUCCUUAUUUAGGCUUUUUUUUUUUUCAAAUGUGUUUCAUCUCCGUUGAAGUUGACCAACUUCUUUGAAGCUGCUUUGGUUUAUUGGUUAAAUAUUUAUUCUUUAAUAUAUUUAAAAGCCAUAUUUACACAAUAUACUUGGAACCACUCUAGACUUUAGCAUAAUUAUUGCCUACUUAAAAUCAGGCUAUCCAAAGCAAGAAAAUCAAUGGCCAUUUACAGGGAAAAUGGGAAACUGGCAGGUUACUGAGGUUGGCCCUUAAUUUAAAUCUUAUUUUUAACACAGCCAUUCUACUUUUUCUAAUGGAAGUUUUAUGCGUGCUUGAAUUUGUGCUGUGAGACUGAGGUGGGAGGAUAAAGAAGCUCUUUUAUCAAAAACCAAUGAAACUUAACCACUUUAUGGACAAGCUCUUGCAAAUCUCUUACUGAAAUCAGACACGUUUGAGUUAGUUAUACAAGAGCAGGGCAGAAAGCACCUGCUGUCACGUCUGUUUCUCAUUUUGUACUCGUGUGACUCAGAUGCCCUGUGGAUUAAGUGAAAUGUGCUCCUGAGCUGCACUCGUGUAUACCACGUGCCAGCUCAGUUUGAAGGUGCAAACAGGAGCUCAGAAGGUGCCACUCAAUCACGUAGCUCUGGUUUUCCCCAACUGUAACGUGAACACGGGAGUCAUGUUAUGCAGGCCUGAGUCUCCAGCUUCGCUGUAAGCAAGAGAUACAGCAGAACUAUGUUUCCAUUUAAUGGUGCUCCCCCACACCCAAACCCCAUAUCAGUUCCCAUUUAAACUUCCACGAGGGAAGGUCAUGACAUGGAACGAGAAGUGCUGUAAAUCUUACACGUUGACAGUUGAUGACCUGUGCAUGAAUUUACAACUAUGUCCUGACACAGAAAAAGGAAGCCAACCAGAAUGCAUGAUCCAACAUCCCCAGGCAGCCAGCUACAGGUCACACUGUUUGUAACCUACAUAAAUGUAUGAAGGAGUCCACAGGUCUGGAGAAAUUGCAUUAGGGUAAAAUUAGUAUUCAGCUCUUAUGUUAAGACCCCAAAUCAAAUUCUUUCUUUUUUAACCCAAAGAGGGCUCUUUUAAAUAUUAGCACUAACAAGGAAUUCUGGAACUUGCCUCUUUGAUCACAUUUUAGAAUAUUAGCUCCUUGUCGGCCUCUUCAUUUGUCCUAUUCAUUCAACAAAUAUUUGGUGAGUCCCUACUGUGUGCUCUCAAGCAUCAAUAGUUAUAAAACAGCAAGAACUCUGCUGUCAUGGAGUUUCCUUUCUAGAUGGAGAAGGGGAGAAAUUGGCUUUGAACUAGCUUAGUGAAGGCGUGUUCCAGUUAAAGUCAAGUUUCCAUGUGGCAUUCCAGAUUUACACAGGAUAAAUUGGGAUGUGAUAAUUUGCUUCAAAAAAAGAUUCAAUAUUUUACCAAAAAAAAAAAAUCACAUAAGGAUUCCCUUUAAAUCUGAAACUCCCAUAGCACCCCCACCCGAGUCAUUUUAUUGAUUCUGGAUUUUUGAAGACUCCACUAAGUGUUAGAGUGUCCGUGCACUGUUCUGGAGCAUCCCCUAAUCACCACCAUGGGUAGACAGUCACUUCCACUGCAUAGAAGAAGUGCCCCAAGAAAGCAUCACUUAUUCUAGAGUAAAAAUACAACCCACUCUGAAAAGAACACUCACAAAGGCUACAGACAGGCCUAGGGAGGAAAAGUCUUAGGAACUCCAGUCCUGGUGUCUUCUCUGGAGCCUCUCUGCACCCUCUUCUUUUAACAACUAGGUCAACGGCAAAAGAAGUCUGGAGUCGAGGGGGAUUGUCUUUUCAGUUUCUCUGGAUUUUUCUCAUUGACAUGAAUGAGGGUAAUAUGGAGAAAAACAAGCCCAACUAAUACAGUUUAAAAAAUGAACCUGCUGAGAUGAAGACAUCAUUUUUCUCUCCUGACACUUUCAACCACUUAGAUAUUUAAUUAUCUGUCACCAGAAUCUCUCCUUGUGAGCACAAGCAAUUUCACCCAUUAGCAAUUAGUGAGAACAGUUCCUCCACUGAGCUUUUGUGUGAGAAAAUAAAUAGGCAGCUGCCACAUACAAACACACAGACUUAGAAGAAGUGAGAAAGAAGCUGAAAAGAGCAUUCCUAAUAUUACAACUGGCCUCUUGUUAUGUUCCCCACAUUUGGGUUUUAUUGAUCAGUGACCACAUUCUCCUCAGGACCGUUGUAAUGCCAGGAAGCUUCCUGGUCCAGCUGCAGAGUGGUUAGUUGGCAUAAAAAAUUUUUUUUUAAAGAACCAGCUCUACCCUACCGUAUUCAGAAAAGUUAAUGUUGUAUCAUUCAUUUCAGCUCCAAAAGUUGAAAGGCCAUCCUAUUUAAAUAGAGGAAGCAAAAGUGAAGCCAGCCUUGGGUGUUUCCACAAGUCUUUGAAAGGCUACCCAAGAAGGAUUCAUACUGAAAGCCUUCAUAGUAAUUAGAUACGUUUAGCAAAUACAGGUACAAAAGGGUAUUCAGAAGUCAAAUGAGCGAUUCUCCAAUUAACGAGCUUUGCUUGGGAAUAAAGGAUCAUGCUCAGUGGAGUGAGUGUUGCUUAAAUUAGCCCUAAAGGAGGAGUCUUCUUAAGAAAGAGAGGAAUAUAUGUACAAAUAAAAUGAGACCAAACUGGGAAGAAAUUGAGUGUUGUUUUCUGUCCCAAUGUUAGAUCAGUCCAAACAGAUGAUAGCCAAAGCCAACUUGCCAUAUAUACGUCACAGCCCUAGCUCUGCAAGGUCUCUCCUGGCUGCAUCUGGGUUUCCAUUGUGCCUGAGACUAGGUCCAACACCCAGUCUGUGUUGCAGUUCCAGAAAAAGACUUUCUGAUUCCUCUAGGAGAACCUGUGAUAACUGCCACCUGACACACUGGAGAAUUGCACCUGACCUUCAGGGGACCAGGAGUUUUUUUGCUGCUAUUUAGAGCACUCAGAGUUCAUCUUUGGCUGAGACUUGUACUAAAUAGCAACUGUGUAACUACCUUGGCAGAAUGUGAGGCACAGCAUCAUUGUUUGGGUCAAGUAGAGAAACUCAAUUUACACUUAUCGACAGCAGGCCACUCCUCCUGACAGGAAGCACUGAGCAGAGAUGUGCCUGGGGUCCACAUUUACCCAACUUCUCAUUACAAAUUACCUGUCCAUGUCUGACUUUUAUUCAUGCCACCAUUUUCCUCGACCGAUUUGUUUAUUUAAAUAAAACGAACUGAAGGCUAUUUUCAUGGGAAAAAUUUCCUUGGGCAUACUCAGGUUACUGACAACUCCCAAGAUAAAAAUCAAGCCUUGAAAUAUUGGUACUCUGACUACAGACCGCAUGGCAACAGAUAAAAAUCUUUGAAAAAUCACUCACAAAGGUCAGGAGAUUUAAAGUCCAUAUAUCAAAAUGCAAUCUAUUCUUAGGAGGCAGCCACACAGUAAGAAGCUAUAAGCCAAUGGGUUUUAUAAUGGCACCACGGCUGUUUAGAGCUGCCUUCCAAGUGCCAGGUGUGAUACCAGCAGUAUGAUGCAAACUCCUAUAUUCCAAGUAACCACUUAGGUCUUAUGGUAAAAUAAGAUCUCAAAAUAGAUCCUUAAAAAGGGAAAAAGUAGACAUUGACUUCAGCUUGAUAUUGUAAUUCCUAACGAAAUCUCUCAAAUCAAUGGUGAGGAGGUGUACAGAAAGACCAACGCCAUUCAUGGUAAGAAUCAUUAGGAAUUCAUAACAAAAGCAAAUACAAAAAGAUGAGAGGAUUGGGGUUUCGAGUAGGGCACACAGACGUGUGCUUCAGAAAUGUGGCUUAUUCAUUUAGUUUUCCUAUGUCCCUGUUUCUUCUGUAUGUGCUAGUGGAAGUAGACAAUUUAGAAAACUUUCCUGAGACUUGCCUGGACAUCAUUUUUAAGACCUUGGGCUUACUGCCCCUUUUCAUUGUUCCACAUUCCUCUCUUGUUUCAGCAUUGUUUUUCAUUGCCUAGACCAAGACAUUGGCACCAGUUAACUCACUCUGAAAUUCAAAGAUUGAAAUGCAAAAUUCUAUUGAAGAAUUAGGGAUGGGUUGUCCUAUAAUAAUGUGAUAGAACUUUUUUACUUUAUGAACUGUCCCAAUGUAGCAUAUCUAAAAGUAUAGCACCAAUUCUAUAGAACACUGUUUCAAACAUCCUUAGAAGGGUCAGGAUACAUUGCUCAGAAAUUCUUGAGAGUGAAUCAAUUAGAUGAUUAAUUGAUUCUAAUUAUCAGAAAUUUUUAAAAGUCUAUCAACUCUACUAGCCAUAUUUAUACUAAUCCAAGUCUGAGGUAUUUCCUAGCUCUAAAAUUCCACAAUUCUACAAUUCUGGUCAUCAUUUUUUCCCUCUAUCCUUCUAAGAAGGUCCUAUCACGGGGGGCUUCAUUUACCAUCCCGAUCUCUAACUCCUUCUCUUUAGUCCUCUGUAUCUCCACUAGAAAUAAGGACCAACACAUUCUUGUUUAUGGCAACUCCAUUUUCACAGUGGACAUUAUUUUCAAGGAUUGUAAAGUAGUUGCCAUCAGUCCAUCUGACAACCUCAAUCAAGAACUACUGCUUCGAAAGCAGAUCAAUCCGAAGGGGUCUCCCGGCCAAACCGAAAGGAAGAGCUAAGGAAAGUUACCUGCCCUCUCUACAAAUGUCCUGAUGUUAUUUGAAGAUUACCAGUGCCUACUUCACAAUUUCAUCGUUGUUAAUAUCAAUAAUUUUAGACCUAUUUCACACAUUUGCUAGUGUUGCUUAAAGAUGUUGGGAGAUUAUAAAGAUAGCACUAAUUCUUGCUUGAUAAUUUUCCUCCUUUUGCCCUAGAAUGCUGAGUGAGAUGUCAUUUUUCAAGAAUAAUUCUGAAAAUUCAACCCUGCUGAAACUUCCACACACAGAGUUAAAAGGCUCAAACAGUCAUAGAUUCAAUUUAGCCAAAUCACAAUCAGAUUUGAUACUCUAGCCAGACCAAGCAACAGACUGACUGAGUGACCAUUAUUCAUAGACAUCUUUCCUUAUCACACUUCGUUAACACCAGGAGAGUUUUUAUUUCUUUGUCUUAAUCAUGCAAACAUUUGGAGAAUUUAAUUUAUGCAUAGAAUCACACUGAGUAAUCCAGGUCUGAAAGGUAAUGUGUGUUAGCUUAUAUUUGUUGGUUUCUGUGAGGGAAAUGGCCGCUUUCAUAGACAGCAACCUGAGAAGCACAAUGCUUACGUUGGUGGUGUCUAGCACAUGGUUUCCAACCCUGGGUCCUUGGUCAGCCUCCCCUCCAGUGAUCUACACAAUCUUGCUAAGGAAGAUCACACAUAUCAUUACUUUAUAUAUCAGUUCAC